CCCCACCUGCUCCUGUUCUCGGCUACUACGUUUUCCAGAACCCUCCACCACAGUUCAUCAUGCCUCAUGCCAGUCUUCAGCCCUGGGGGGCAGCCAAAGGGUAGAAAAGCACUAAUAAAGAUGAGUACAAGAUGGUAUGAUACCCGGUGAAGCCUUUCCAAUUGAACUGUUUUUAACCCUCGUGUUCUGUCUAUUACUUAGCAAUGAAUUUCCCAAAAUAUAAUAGAAAUCAAUAUAGUAGUAAUAGCAUAAUUUGAAAUAUCCAUUUGUAACUUAUCAUUAUGUUAAUAUAAACAAUAUGAAAGAAAUAACAACAAAAACCCUUCACACAUAAGCACAUGUGCAAGUGAGAGAUUGAGGCCAUGUGAUAACAGCUGAAAUCAACUUUUGUUUUAUAUCUUUUCUACAAACUGUAUACAUAUACACUUAAAUUAGUGUAUAUUUUAUACAUUUGUUACUGUUACUAUCUGGGUGUAGUCUUUAUAGUAUAAAUAACAUAGAGUAUAAGCAUAAUUUUAUAAUGGUUAGUGGACCUUUUUAUUAGACCAUCUUGGCUCAAACAGAACAUGUGGGUUGAUCAUUCAUAAUAACAUACUGAGAUAUUUAUAAAUGAUUUAGAAUAGAAAUAUCAUAUAUGAUGAUAAUGACAUGAUAUGUUGUAAUAGCGUUCUUUAUGUUACAUGUGAUCCUUACAGAAUUAAUGACUGAACCAAGUAAUUCUAUUUGUACAUGUAUUUUUAGCCUAACCAUUUUAAUCAGGGACCACAUUGUACGGUGCAUAAAUCAUAAUUGUAAUGCAACUGUGCAAGUAAUAAGGUUAUUUUCAUUUGCUUAUGUAAAGUGUCAAAAUAUCUUCUUUGGGAUGACAUUUAAUAACAUUAAUAAAUGUUAUCAAAUUGUGUCAAAUCAGGUCGGUUAAAAAAGACAUACCCAAAUUAUAUGUUCUCUCUGGUAUGUCAGUCUAUUGCCUUUAUUCUUUGCUUUUAUGCAAGUGCAUGGUUUGAAUCCAAAGAGUGCAAGCUAGGCUGCACUAAAAAUACUGUGACCUUUGUGCAAUACAUGUAGUGCUGUAGCUCACAGUUCACUGUGACAAAAUAUUUCUCAGGAUACUGAAUUAACUGCAUAAAAAUGGACCAUUGUGUAAAUGAAUCAUAGAAAUUCCUUUAUAAUGGUCAUUGUGUGCAGUGUUUCUUGUGCUAAUUUCUGUCACUCACUUCAGAGCUGGUAGAUGUAGUAGUUGCUGUGUGUUGCCAAAAGCAGUAUAUAUUGUGCCAUGCUUAGAACUUUUUUUUUGCUUUUCAUAGCCACAUUAUUAUAAGAUUGUGAUUUUGUACAGUCCAGAACAUUUCUUAGCUUCGUAAGAAAGCCAUGCUUUAAACAAUUGAAUCAAUAUUUUAUGCAAGACCAAUUUUUACAAUCAAGAAUAAUUAUAGUCUGACGCUGGAUUUUGCUGUUGUAAAUUGCUUUGAACACUGAAAUUGUAAACUUUGUAUUUUU
Molecule: long non-coding RNA, 1497 nt
Organism: Ictalurus punctatus (channel catfish)
Lineage: Eukaryota; Metazoa; Chordata; Actinopteri; Siluriformes; Ictaluridae
Source: Ensembl